Molecule: ribosomal RNA, 1071 nt
Filed under: Caenorhabditis japonica
Lineage: Eukaryota; Metazoa; Nematoda; Chromadorea; Rhabditida; Rhabditidae
Description: SSU rRNA
Rfam family: Eukaryotic small subunit ribosomal RNA
Source: RNAcentral
UUUGAGGUUGGGUUCGCCCUUCAACUGCCAGCAGGUUUACCUUGAAUAAAUCAGAGUGCUCAAUACAGGCGCUUGCUUGAAUAGCUCAUCAUGGAAUAAUGAAACAGGACUUCGGUUCUUUUUGUUGGUUCUAGAAUUGAUCUAAUGGUUAAGAGGGACAAACCGGGGGCAUUCGUAUCAUUACGCGAGAGGUGAAAUUCGUGGACCGUAGUGAGACGCCCAAUAGCGAAAGCAUUUGCCAAGAAUGUCUUCAUUAAUCAAGAACGAAAGUCAGAGGUUCGAAGGCGAUUAGAUACCGCCCUAGUUCUGACCGUAAACGAUGCCAUCUCGCGAUUCGGAGGGUUCAUGCCCUACCGAGGAGCUACCCGGAAACGAAAGUCUUUCGGUUCCGGGGGUAGUAUGGUUGCAAAGCUGAAACUUAAAGAAAUUGACGGAAGGGCACCACAAGGCGUGGAGCUUGCGGCUUAAUUUGACUCAACACGGGAAAACUCACCCGGUCCGGACACUAUUAGGACUGACAGAUUGAAAGCUCUUUCUCGAUUUGGUGGUUGGUGGUGCAUGGCCGUUCUUAGUUGGUGGAGUGAUUUGUCUGGUUUAUUCCGAUAACGAGCGAGACUCUAGCCUGCUAAAUAGUCGACGAAUCUUCGGGUUCGUAUAACUUCUUAGAGGGAUAAGCGGUGUUUAGCCGCACGAGAUUGAGCGAUAACAGGUCUGUGAUGCCCUUAGAUGUCCGGGGCUGCACGCGUGCUACACUGGUGGAGUCAGCGGGUUUUUCCUAUGCCGAAAGGUAUCGGUAAACCGUUGAACUUCUUCCAUGUCCGGGAUAGGGUAUUGUAAUUAUUACCCUUAAACGAGGAAUGCCUAGUAAGUGUGAGUCAUCAGCUCACGUUGAUUACGUCCCUGCCCUUUGUACACACCGCCCGUCGCUAUCCGGGACUGAACUGAUUCGAGAAGAGUGGGGACUGUGGCUGCGAGGUUUUACCACUUCGCAGUUGCGGAAACCAUUUUUAUCGCAUUGGUUUGAACCGGGUAAAAGUCGUAACAAGGUAGCUGUAGGUGAACCUGCAGCUG